This 467-nucleotide ribosomal RNA is filed under the name uncultured bacterium. RNAcentral describes it as "partial 16S ribosomal RNA". It matches the Rfam family "Bacterial small subunit ribosomal RNA", at positions 29 to 507 of the family's 1533-position model. The record is from RNAcentral.
ACGCACGCUGGCUGCGUGCUUAACACCUGCCAGUCUCACUGAAAGGCCCUGCUUUUGUGGGGUGCUCGAGUGGCGAACGGGUGAGUAACACGUGAGUAACCUGCCCUUGACUUUGGGAUAACUUCAGGAAACUGGGGCUAAUACCGGAUAGGAGCUCCUGCUGCAUGGUGGGGGUUGGAAAGUUUCGGCGGUUGGGGAUGGACUCGCGGCUUAUCAGCUUGUUGGUGGGGUAGUGGCUUACCAAGGCUUUGACGGGUAGCCGGCCUGAGAGGGUGACCGGCCACAUUGGGACUGAGAUACGGCCCAGACUCCUACGGGAGGAAGCAGUGGGGAAUAUUGCACAAUGGGCGGAAGCCUGAUGCAGCAACGCCGCGUGCGGGAUGACGGCCUUCGGGUUGUAAACCGCUUUCGCCUGUGACGAAGCGUGAGUGACGGUAAUGGGUAAAGAAGCACCGGCUAACUACGUG